UGCCUCAGUAACGGCGAGUGAAGCGGCAACAGCUCAAAUUUGAAAUCUGGCCGCAAGGUCCGAGUUGUAAUUUGCAGAGGAUGCUUUUGGCGAGGUGCCUUCCGAGUUCCCUGGAACGGGACGCCAUAGAGGGUGAGAGCCCCGUACGGUAGGACCACCGAGCCUUUGUAAAGCUCCUUCGACGAGUCGAGUAGUUUGGGAAUGCUGCUCUAAAUGGGAGGUGUACGUCUUCUAAAGCUAAAUACCGGCCAGAGACCGAUAGCGCACAAGUAGAGUGAUCGAAAGAUGAAAAGCACUUUGAAAAGAGGGUUAAAAAGUACGUGAAAUUGUUGAAAGGGAAGCAUUCAUGACCAGACUUGGGCUUGGUUGAACAUCCGGCGUUCUCGCCGGUGCACUCUGCCAGUCCAGGCCAGCAUCAGUUUGCCCCGGGGGACAAAGGCGGUGGGAAUGUGGCUCUCUCCGGGGAGUGUUAUAGCCCGCCGUGUAAUGCCCUGGGGCGGACUGAGGAACGCGCUUCGGCUCGGAUGCUGGCGUAAUGGUCAUCAAUGACCCGUCUUGAAACACGGACCAAGGAGUCGUCUUCGUAUGCGAGUGUUCGGGUGUCAAACCCCUACGCGAAAUGAAAGUGAACGUAGGUGAGAGCUUCGGCGCAUCACCGACCGAUCCUGAUGUUCUCGGAC
Molecule: ribosomal RNA, 680 nt
Filed under: Sarocladium spinificis
Lineage: Eukaryota; Fungi; Ascomycota; Sordariomycetes; Hypocreales; Sarocladiaceae
Description: partial large subunit ribosomal RNA
Rfam family: Eukaryotic large subunit ribosomal RNA
Source: RNAcentral